This 443-nucleotide ribosomal RNA is filed under the name uncultured bacterium. Its description in RNAcentral is "partial 16S ribosomal RNA". It matches the Rfam family "Bacterial small subunit ribosomal RNA", at positions 338 to 795 of the family's 1533-position model. The record is from RNAcentral.
CCUACGGGCGGCAGCAGUGGGGAAUAUUGCACAAUGGGGGCAACCCUGAUGCAGCGACGCCGCGUGAGGGAAGAAGUAUUUCGGGAUGUAAAGUUCUAUUCUCAGGGACGAAAAUGGUGGCAGUUCCUCAAGAAUAAGCCGCUGCUAACUACGUAGCAGCCGCCGCGGUAAGACGUAGGUGGCAAGCGUUAGCCGUAUUUGUUGGGAGUAAAGGGGGUGUAGGCGGGCAAGCAAGUCAGAUGUGAAAACUCAGGGCUCAACCCUGAGGCUUCAUUUGAAACUGUCUUUCUUGAGUGCCGGAGAGGCAAGCGGAAUUCCGUGUGUAGCGGUGAAAUGCGUAGAUAUAAGGAGGAACACCAGUGGCGAAGGCGGAUUGCUGGACAGUAACUGACGCUGAGGCUCGAAAGCGUGGGGAGCAAACAGGAUUAGAUACCCCGGUAGUC